CAUAUGACAGAAAUUAUUCAUCUCCCUGGCCUCUUCAAAUUCAAGACUCAGGCACAUACAUCCUCAUCUUAGCAGGACAAGCUAAUUCAUUCGCAUGCAGAGCAACAAUACCAAUACUCCAAACAUACCUAGAGACGUCACACUGGAAAAACAAUGCAACCAACGGGUUCUCUGCAGCAGCAAAAUCGACAAUUUUUGAACUUGCACGACAUCUAAACAAGAACUACACGAUACACAAUUUUCCACCAUGCACCUGCUAUCCUGAACAUAAAUGAAAUGAGAGAAGGGUAUCCUGGACAUCUAAAUAAGAACUACACGAUACACAAUUUUCCACCAUGCACCUGCUAUCCUGAACAUAAAUGAAAUGAGAGAAGGGUAUCCUGGACAUCUAAACAAGAACUUGCAUUUUUUUCCAUCACGCACCCAUCGGUUCUGCCUUCUCCCCCGGCCCUGAAACAAGAGCACCAUCAGUUUAGUUUUAAACAAAUUGAAAGUUCGAACAUGAGGCAUGUAGAUUUUCAAAUGAUGAAAGUCACAAAAAGUGAGCUAUUUUUGUUUUACUUCAAAUAAUUCAACAUGAAAAAGAAAAAUACAGAUAAAUAUUUUUUUGUGCGAUAUUCUGAAGCAGAUGUCAGUUCGACCUUUUUAACUACUUUUUGCAUAAGGAGAUAAUGUUAUUGAACUGGCUAGGUACAUUCAGUUUUACCAAGUAGUAUGGUUGGACGAGUAAUGCAAGCACUGCUUCCAAGGUUUUAUAGAGAUCAGUAGCCAUCCAACUAUGAAAUGCAUGCAAACCCAAUCUGCAAACACUAGCGAACAUUGAAACAAACAACUCCUGUUUCUCAACUUUGAACUUUUGUAUGGGUUUUCUCUCAACUAUUGUAUCCGCGAGUCUGAACUGAUGCAAGUAUAUAAGAAUACCAAACAUUAUUACCUGAACCUGAAAAGGGUCUGAGACAGGUUGCCCUGGAACUGCAACUUGUAUCUUACUGCUCGUCUCUUAACUGAAGUGGAAGCCUAAGUAGUGCAGAGCAGAAAUUUAGUCAAAACAAGAAGGAACCUAUAAGUUAACACUUUCAGACAAAAUAGAAUUAGCAGCCCGAUAAAGUUAAAAGGGGGAACUACUGCAUGAAGUUUGUAACAACCAUAUGCUGGCAAUUUAAAAGAUUUUCAACAACGUUACGAGUAGUAUUAUAGUAAAAAAAAAACAUUACGAGUAGUAUGUUCAGGUCCAUAUUGUUUGCAACGAUUUUAAAAUUACAAAUUCAACAGCGAAAAAGAUCUUCAGAGUUAUAUCUGCUCCAUAUGAUUGUGUCUAGUAGUGUUUCCAGUAGUCACCUUGUAUAGCAUGUUAAUGAAGCAUGUAACUGCUCACAGAACAUUGAAUCACUAAACACAGUAAUAUUUAGACGGUGGCUCUCAGACCGGCGGUGGUAGGGAGGAAAGUGGGCUCGGGGGGAUGUCGCCGGUGAUGGGAACGAGCAGCGCACAUCGGCGAGAAGGGGGGCAGCAGCCAUUACAGAUUUCACGCGCCCGUCAUUGCCGUAACUUGAACUAUACUGCAACUUAAAAUAAAAAUUGAACCGAACUGAAACAUAAAAUAAGAAUUGAACUGAACAGAAACUAGAAAUUGGAGUGAACUAAACCUAGAAAGCUGAGCAACAGUGCUUGCUAAAGGUCACCAUAUUUUUUAUCUCAGCGGGAACAGCAAGGAUCCAUGGUCAUACAUAAAACAUAAACAGCAAGAAACAAAUGAACAUUGACAAAGGAUGCUAUGCAGAUGUAAAAGUUCCUGGUGUUUUUCCGCAACCAUGAACUGAUGUAGGCUGCAUGGAAGAACUACUUUUGGUUUGCAGAGUGAACAUCCACACUUCCUUUUUUAUCUUUGCGUAUAUAAUGUACUGUGUAAAUUUUUGCAUCUGAACUUUCUUAUCAUUUUUUUUAACUUCACUAGUUCAUAAAAACCUAGUAUAUUUCAAAAUAAAGCCAUGAGAAAGAAGAGCAGUAUUAAAAUUAAUAAAACAUUAGAUGGGAGGAUUAGUAGAUGCACAUACACUUCAUAUUCUAAUGGGCAUCACUAGGAGCACUAGCCUUUUUCUCUUUGUUGCUAUACGAACAGGUGUGCACAUCCUGUCUUUUUUUUAAAGCGCUGAAGUCUCAUGGACAAAGCAUCAAACAGGUUUCAGGCAGUGUUCUCUCUCACCUAUUUGCUAAAUUAACAAAGAACUUGCUGCGGGUUUCAUUUUGAACUUGCCUGGAAGUAAUACUUGUACUCUAGCCCAGUACAAGUAUAAUGCUUAUAGUCUGUAAACAAAAAAGAUGCAGAAUUUACAAACGAAAAGGUUAAAAUAAAAGUUGAAACAAUAGAGAAACUAUGAAGCAAAUAGCAUCAGUGAUCUUCUAACUGAGGCACUAUAUUGUACUGAUAUUUUUUUUGUCAAUGAACUUCUGCAAUUUAGGUACUAGAACUCACUGAUGCUAUUUACUCUUCGUUUUUAAGGCAUUUUCAGUACAUGCCAAGCAUUUGUUUUUUAAACACGUCCACGGGUUAAAUGGAUCAGUACAUGAUGAACAAUGUCAGUUUUCAGAAGCAAAACUUGCACUGAAUCGUUUGAACUCUGAAUAUGUCCAGAGAACAUGAGGCUCUCAUGUAAUCUAGGCUACACACCGAACCUAGCUUUUACCAUGAUGCACCUUGUACUAUGGAAUGUAGACACGGAAACAAAACAAUUUCUUAUAAAGCUUCCUAGCCCAUUCACUUCAACCUUUAGAAGACAAACUUCUUUUUUGGGAGAGAAUAGAAGAUGAUUUCUAAACUGCAGUUUUUUGCACUUUAUUCUUAUCACUCUUAUAUUGAACUUUCUAACCUGCAGUUGCCCAGAAGCCGUCCCAUGUCAGGCCAGACACAGACGUCCGGUUGGCGCUGUCCGGCCACCUUGUCGGACAGAAAAACAUGCCGCUGGUCGAUGUAUCUCGCCGUCAAGGGGAAGAGCUGAGGAAGGUUCCCUGGCAACUACGAGCAACACAACAUGAGUGACCGGUAUCGGUAUUUCUGUCUGGAGGAGGUGGUGGUGGGUUAGGGGUGCGACGACCAUGGGAGCAGGUGCAUCGGCGGUUGGCGAGGGAGCAGGGCCCAUGGCGGCCGAUCCGGGCGAGGUCGCGACAGCGGAGGUAGGUGGUGUCGGUGGGCAAGGGGCAUGCAUCAGCAGCAGCAGAAAGGCUGCAGCUGUGCUGGACAGUAGUAGGCGCAGUAGCAGCUUGCAGCAAGGAGCGGCCCGCACUCAGCUCCUUGAGCGACCAGCCACAAAACAAGAAGUUGUACUGUUGAGCAGGAGAUCCUCGACCCCGCGACUCCUCCAGCAGGCUCCACUGUUUGCCGUUGAAGCAUAAGCCAUGGUGUUGGAGUGGGACACGUCCACAGCGGUGACAUUGAACGGACAGGGGUGGUGGCGGCGAACGGCCUGUACGCGGUGGUGACGUAGCACCAUCGGGGAGGAGGCAGAGUGGUGGCAGGGGAGCAUCACCGGCUGCCGGAGGAUAAGUUGCCAAUUCCAUAUUCUAUUCUGUAUUGAACUUAAGUGCACGGUUGAAUUGAACUUUUCCGACACAUAUUCACUGAACUCAGUCCUCCUGAAUGUUCAUUUUUAUAGUUAUGUUGGCAUGAGGCUAUGAAAUACAUCUCAGCAAUUGUUUUUGGGUGAGUUUCAAAAAAUAUAAUACUAAGUGAACAGUACAACCUGACCUAACUAGAUAUGCAACAUGCAGUAGACAAGUUCGGUGUCUCAACUUUUCACAAAAAACUGCAGAUGUACUAUCAUCUAUGCAAAAUGUAUCAUAGAAAUAAUGGAGAAGGCUUAGUUAAAAUGGCAACACCUUGUUCAUUUUUGAUCAAAUUAAUAUCACAAAGAGCACUCGCUGCCUUCUCUACAGAGUCCAGGUUAUGGAAAAAAAAUGGUCAAGAAAUAAGAACAAUGAUCACUUGUACUGCCUGGAAAAUAACACGCAAACUUGUAGCAUUUGAUCAGUUGAACUUGUCGCAAUAGAAAUAAAGAAUUAUGUACACGGAUACAACUUGCAUCAUCCAUGACAGUUUAAACUGUUGUCAUCCAUGAUGGUCUUGUGAUUACUUGAAUGGGUAGCCACGGUCCAAUGUUCUAAACUGUACAAAAACUCAUGUUCUUUGACAGUUUAAAUUUUGUCUAAACUUACCGGUUUCCGGUCUCUGAACUUACAAAACUUACAGAGAUGUACUCAACCACCACCACGACGAUAAGAUGGACACAGACAAAAGGAUUCGAUGCUCAUCAGUAAGUAGUAGGAUAACAUUCAAGAGGGCAUGGUUCAGACAAAAAGAUUGAGAGUUUCAGACGAUAC
This 4374-nucleotide long non-coding RNA is filed under the name Triticum aestivum (bread wheat). RNAcentral describes it as "long non-coding RNA (TAES_LNC008979)". The record is from RNAcentral. Lineage: Eukaryota; Viridiplantae; Streptophyta; Magnoliopsida; Poales; Poaceae.